GACGAACGCUGGCGGCGUGCCUAAUACAUGCAAGUUGAGCGCUGAAGGUUGGUACUUGUACCGACUGGAUGAGCAGCGAACGGGUGAGUAACGCGUGGGGAAUCUGCCUUUGAGCGGGGGACAACAUUUGGAAACGAAUGCUAAUACCGCAUAAAAACUUUAAACACAAGUUUUAAGUUUGAAAGAUGCAAUUGCAUCACUCAAAGAUGAUCCCGCGUUGUAUUAGCUAGUUGGUGAGGUAAAGGCUCACCAAGGCGAUGAUACAUAGCCGACCUGAGAGGGUGAUCGGCCACAUUGGGACUGAGACACGGCCCAAACUCCUACGGGAGGCAGCAGUAGGGAAUCUUCGGAAAGGGACGAAAGUCUGACCGAGCAACGCCGCGUGAGUGAAGAAGGUUUUCGGAUCGUAAAACUCUGUUGGUAGAGAAGAACGUUGGUGAGAGUGGAAAGCUCAUCAAGUGACGGUAACUACCCAGAAAGGGACGGCUAACUACGUG
Molecule: ribosomal RNA, 497 nt
Filed under: uncultured bacterium
Lineage: Bacteria
Description: partial 16S ribosomal RNA
Rfam family: Bacterial small subunit ribosomal RNA
Source: RNAcentral